UUCAGGAUAAUCGACUGAGCACGCUGACAGCGUGUGUUUCAACACAGGUCUGACAUCCUGUGAGUAUAAUCUAAUGUGUCCGACCAAAAUCGCUGUUAACCCUUUCCCAUUCCGAUGACGCGAUUCGUUUACGUCAUCGAAACUGAAAUAAAAUUACGACAUCGGUACCUAUUCAGGACAGAAGACAUACCGAGGCUCCCACAAGGCCAUGCGAGAAGGCAUGCAGCACAGCUUGGCGCCAGCUGUCAUCGAUUGCAGCCGUGUCACUACAGUUCUCUGCGGGAUCUUGCACUUGAUAUCCAAGGAGCCACCCGUUACGCCGUCGGAAAGCCAGCCAAGGAGGAGGGAGCGGCUGACAUCCACUUCUCUCCUCCCCCAUCUUCUGUCCGGGACGGGCCGCGCCCAUUAGGCCAACUUCAAGCCAUCCUGAGAGCCCCCGGAUGGAUGGCUACGGCUCAAGGGACACAGCCGACGUGCGGACUGGCCGGUGGAGACGCGCACCGGCACGCUCGUCGCGCGGCAUGGAGACGUGGCGGGUGCCGCACCUGCACCCCAGUGUUCAUUACAUUAACUUAAUUGGUGGUGAUGUUCGUCAACGAAGACAAUAUUCGUCAACAAAGUGUUGUGUUUCAUACUUUGUACCAGUCAACAGUGACUAUGAGCAGAUGAAUAUCAACAACCACGGCGAUGAUUGCAGCUACGCAUAAAAGGCCUGGGCAUGGCCGACGAAGACGAGGCGAAACCAACGCACAAAACUAAGAAGAUUUCGUCACAGUAUUGAGAGAUGGCAGUGAAGGGAGACCAAAACUGUGCAUUGGCAAUAUAUGCAGAUAAAUAUAUAUACCAAGUUUACCAAUUAGCUGACCUAAUAAUCCGAGAGGGGGGAAAAAAAGUGCACACUCGAAGAGCGAAAUAAUAUUCCGGCUGCUUUAGUCGAGUAGGCUAAGAUAAUUGCUCAACGAAAUCCACAGACUGAGACUCCAACAAUGAAAUUGCACAGGUUGUCGUCGACAAAUGUAACAAUGGCUAACUGAAUUAAUGCCGCCGCCGCUGCAACUUUUGACCGUUUGUGAAGCGAAAGAUAAAACGCGCAGUCGCGCGCCGCGUCCAAAGUUUUGCUCUUAUCGUGCGACAACGCGGAGAGUUGCUCGCAAGGAAAAUGCUCCACUUUGUAAACCCUCAUCAUCAUCGCAGUGCUCGCUCGACUGCAAACAUCCGCCCCCCCACCCACUCCGUGCAGUCCUGCAGCAGAGUACCAGGCAUAGCCAGCAAGAUAAGAAUGGAAAUGCAUCAUUCUGGUCGGCGGUCAACUUAGCCCAUGAUCCCUCCAAGGUCGGUAAAGCCAGUGCCAUUUUGGAGGAAAUGAACAGUGGUGUUUUUUUGGAUUAUCCACGUUCCUGCAUCAGGAAUGGGGAAUUUUCACCCCUAGCUGGGGAACAUCUAUGGAGGGUGGCGUCACUAACCCAUCGCUUGUGUGUGGGGAAUACACGCUGAUCGCAUCAUGAGCGCUGCCCACCAACGGGCUGUCUUUUGUCAUACGGUGGAGUGCUUUGACGGUGGAAUUGUGUUGUUAAAAAGUGCGAAUACCAAAGUAAUGAUUUACUGGAAAUAUUAUCGUAAAUUAAAAUUACAAUUUACGUUUUCUUUACAUCUCUUUUUUAUAAUAUAAUUCCACAGGUAAAUAAAUUGACAAAAUUGCAGUGCAAAAAAUAUUAAAAUAUUGAAGAUAUAUUGCCUUUGUGUGUAGCACAACAGUUUUUUUUUCUGUUAAUUGUUUUAAAACAUAUAAACAUAUUUUAAUUAGUGAUCCACAAAACCAAAACGUGAAGUUUAUUUUUUUUUGCCAUAAGUCCAUUGAAGUGGUACAAUUUUAAACAAGCUGCAUUUCCUGUGAGAUUUAUUAUUUCGACUGUGCUCUCGGCGUCGUGACACAAGAUUAAGAAUCCUUUCAGAGAUUUCGCAUAGCAGGGCAACCCUCCGUGUUGAAGAAUGGCCCACACAAGUGGAUAUCACAGAGCAACCACCGAGAUCCCUCGAAGUGACGUCUGUUCCAAUGAGAGUGAAGUUCACCCCAUGACAGCGAAAUUGAUUUUCGAAUUUGCAAAGCUGGAAUUUCGCUAUAUUAAGUGCACAGCCAUACUAACGUGAUUGUGUUUUAUACAGCAGCUUUACGACCCGGCUUCGCCCGGGACUUGGAUUCACCACGGCCGCGAUGUUCACACACCACACCAGUUACUCGUU
This is a long non-coding RNA of Petromyzon marinus (sea lamprey), 2241 nucleotides long. RefSeq lists it as uncharacterized. NCBI's taxonomy places the organism in Eukaryota, Metazoa, Chordata, Hyperoartia, Petromyzontiformes, Petromyzontidae. The record is from RefSeq and is a predicted model, not a curated record.